RNAcentral lists this ribosomal RNA (2927 nucleotides) under Staphylococcus aureus. RNAcentral's name for it is "bacterial LSU rRNA". It matches the Rfam family "Bacterial large subunit ribosomal RNA". Lineage: Bacteria; Bacillati; Bacillota; Bacilli; Caryophanales; Staphylococcaceae. The record is from RNAcentral.
AGAUUAAGUUAUUAAGGGCGCACGGUGGAUGCCUUGGCACUAGAAGCCGAUGAAGGACGUUACUAACGACGAUAUGCUUUGGGGAGCUGUAAGUAAGCUUUGAUCCAGAGAUUUCCGAAUGGGGAAACCCAGCAUGAGUUAUGUCAUGUUAUCGAUAUGUGAAUACAUAGCAUAUCAGAAGGCACACCCGGAGAACUGAAACAUCUUAGUACCCGGAGGAAGAGAAAGAAAAUUCGAUUCCCUUAGUAGCGGCGAGCGAAACGGGAAGAGCCCAAACCAACAAGCUUGCUUGUUGGGGUUGUAGGACACUCUAUACGGAGUUACAAAGGACGACAUUAGACGAAUCAUCUGGAAAGAUGAAUCAAAGAAGGUAAUAAUCCUGUAGUCGAAAAUGUUGUCUCUCUUGAGUGGAUCCUGAGUACGACAGAGCACGUGAAAUUCCGUCGGAAUCUGGGAGGACCAUCUCCUAAGGCUAAAUACUCUCUAGUGACCGAUAGUGAACCAGUACCGUGAGGGAAAGGUGAAAAGCACCCCGGAAGGGGAGUGAAAUAGAACCUGAAACCGUGUGCUUACAAGUAGUCAGAGCCCGUUAAUGGGUGAUGGCGUGCCUUUUGUAGAAUGAACCGGCGAGUUACGAUUUGAUGCAAGGUUAAGCAGUAAAUGUGGAGCCGUAGCGAAAGCGAGUCUGAAUAGGGCGUUUAGUAUUUGGUCGUAGACCCGAAACCAGGUGAUCUACCCUUGGUCAGGUUGAAGUUCAGGUAACACUGAAUGGAGGACCGAACCGACUUACGUUGAAAAGUGAGCGGAUGAACUGAGGGUAGCGGAGAAAUUCCAAUCGAACCUGGAGAUAGCUGGUUCUCUCCGAAAUAGCUUUAGGGCUAGCCUCAAGUGAUGAUUAUUGGAGGUAGAGCACUGUUUGGACGAGGGGCCCCUCUCGGGUUACCGAAUUCAGACAAACUCCGAAUGCCAAUUAAUUUAACUUGGGAGUCAGAACAUGGGUGAUAAGGUCCAUGUUCGAAAGGGAAACAGCCCAGACCACCAGCUAAGGUCCCAAAAUAUAUGUUAAGUGGAAAAGGAUGUGGCGUUGCCCAGACAACUAGGAUGUUGGCUUAGAAGCAGCCAUCAUUUAAAGAGUGCGUAAUAGCUCACUAGUCGAGUGACACUGCGCCGAAAAUGUACCGGGGCUAAACAUAUUACCGAAGCUGUGGAUUGUCCUUUGGACAAUGGUAGGAGAGCGUUCUAAGGGCGUUGAAGCAUGAUCGUAAGGACAUGUGGAGCGCUUAGAAGUGAGAAUGCCGGUGUGAGUAGCGAAAGAUGGGUGAGAAUCCCGUCCACCGAUUGACUAAGGUUUCCAGAGGAAGGCUCGUCCGCUCUGGGUUAGUCGGGUCCUAAGCUGAGGCCGACAGGCGUAGGCGAUGGAUAACAGGUUGAUAUUCCUGUACCACCUAUAAUCGUUUUAAUCGAUGGGGGGACGCAGUAGGAUAGGCGAAGCGUGCGAUUGGAUUGCACGUCUAAGCAGUAAGGCUGAGUAUUAGGCAAAUCCGGUACUCGUUAAGGCUGAGCUGUGAUGGGGAGAAGACAUUGUGUCUUCGAGUCGUUGAUUUCACACUGCCGAGAAAAGCCUCUAGAUAGAAAAUAGGUGCCCGUACCGCAAACCGACACAGGUAGUCAAGAUGAGAAUUCUAAGGUGAGCGAGCGAACUCUCGUUAAGGAACUCGGCAAAAUGACCCCGUAACUUCGGGAGAAGGGGUGCUCUUUAGGGUUAACGCCCAGAAGAGCCGCAGUGAAUAGGCCCAAGCGACUGUUUAUCAAAAACACAGGUCUCUGCUAAACCGUAAGGUGAUGUAUAGGGGCUGACGCCUGCCCGGUGCUGGAAGGUUAAGAGGAGUGGUUAGCUUCUGCGAAGCUACGAAUCGAAGCCCCAGUAAACGGCGGCCGUAACUAUAACGGUCCUAAGGUAGCGAAAUUCCUUGUCGGGUAAGUUCCGACCCGCACGAAAGGCGUAACGAUUUGGGCACUGUCUCAACGAGAGACUCGGUGAAAUCAUAGUACCUGUGAAGAUGCAGGUUACCCGCGACAGGACGGAAAGACCCCGUGGAGCUUUACUGUAGCCUGAUAUUGAAAUUCGGCACAGCUUGUACAGGAUAGGUAGGAGCCUUUGAAACGUGAGCGCUAGCUUACGUGGAGGCGCUGGUGGGAUACUACCCUAGCUGUGUUGGCUUUCUAACCCGCACCACUUAUCGUGGUGGGAGACAGUGUCAGGCGGGCAGUUUGACUGGGGCGGUCGCCUCCUAAAAGGUAACGGAGGCGCUCAAAGGUUUCCUCAGAAUGGUUGGAAAUCAUUCAUAGAGUGUAAAGGCAUAAGGGAGCUUGACUGCGAGACCUACAAGUCGAGCAGGGUCGAAAGACGGACUUAGUGAUCCGGUGGUUCCGCAUGGAAGGGCCAUCGCUCAACGGAUAAAAGCUACCCCGGGGAUAACAGGCUUAUCUCCCCCAAGAGUUCACAUCGACGGGGAGGUUUGGCACCUCGAUGUCGGCUCAUCGCAUCCUGGGGCUGUAGUCGGUCCCAAGGGUUGGGCUGUUCGCCCAUUAAAGCGGUACGCGAGCUGGGUUCAGAACGUCGUGAGACAGUUCGGUCCCUAUCCGUCGUGGGCGUAGGAAAUUUGAGAGGAGCUGUCCUUAGUACGAGAGGACCGGGAUGGACAUACCUCUGGUGUACCAGUUGUCGUGCCAACGGCAUAGCUGGGUAGCUAUGUGUGGACGGGAUAAGUGCUGAAAGCAUCUAAGCAUGAAGCCCCCCUCAAGAUGAGAUUUCCCAACUUCGGUUAUAAGAUCCCUCAAAGAUGAUGAGGUUAAUAGGUUCGAGGUGGAAGCAUGGUGACAUGUGGAGCUGACGAAUACUAAUCGAUCGAAGACUUAAUCAAAUU